RNAcentral lists this long non-coding RNA (683 nucleotides) under Ananas comosus (pineapple). RNAcentral describes it as "long non-coding RNA (ACOM_LNC041685)". The record is from RNAcentral. Lineage: Eukaryota; Viridiplantae; Streptophyta; Magnoliopsida; Poales; Bromeliaceae.
GCUGCAACAAUUGCACAAAACCCCUACACAACACUACUACAACUUUCAGUUUAGCAGCUCGAAAUCUGAUACCUUUCGCCGGAGCCCUUCUGAAUGUCCAUUUUCUCUCAAAUUUCACAGUUAGACUCGGUUUUAGCUAAAUAAAUAAAGUAUUUCAUAAUCUUUCAGUUUCGACAAUGUUUGGUCACCGAAAGCCCUACUGAACUGUAAUCUCUAGCAGAUAGCAGUCGAAUUUUAUUUUCCACCUUCCGGGUGACGGAUUAACAUGAAACUUUAAAUCUAGCCUCACAAAAAUAAUUCUGACAUAUUCUCCAGUUAUCAUAAUUUUCUGACACUGUAGAUUUUCUGCUAAAAUAUCAGUCCUGUUUCUCACAGAAAAUUCUAAAUCUUCUGUUUUCGUUCCGAUUUUAGCACGAGUCGUUUUCGACUUAUAUUUUACUUCUCUAAAUCUAAUAAAAAUAGUAUCUCACACUAUUUAUGUUUAUAUUUAUAUUUAUAUUAAAAAUCUGAUAUAUUACACUCCACCGUAAUUUCAUAACUUCAGAAGUUCGGCACCUUACACAUACACCGUAACUUCAUAACUUUAUAAGUUCGGUAUGUUACACUUUUCCAUCCUUAAAAAGAGUUUCGUCCUCAAAACUCAAACCACUUUAAACUCAACUCAUACCUCAACUCGGUUUAUU